Molecule: ribosomal RNA, 395 nt
Filed under: uncultured bacterium
Lineage: Bacteria
Description: partial 16S ribosomal RNA
Rfam family: Bacterial small subunit ribosomal RNA
Source: RNAcentral
AUACGUAGGGUGCAAGCGUUAAUCGGAAUUACUGGGCGUAAAGCGUGCGCAGGCGGUUUUGUAAGACAGAGGCGAAAUCCCCGGGCUCAACCUGGGAACUGCCUUUGUGACUGCAAGGCUAGAGUACGGCAGAGGGGGAUGGAAUUCCGCGUGUAGCAGUGAAAUGCGUAGAUAUGCGGAGGAACACCGAUGGCGAAGGCAAUCCCCUGGGCAUGUACUGACGCUCAUGCACGAAAGCGUGGGGAGCAAACAUGAUUAGAUACCCUGGUAGUCCACGCCCUAAACGAUGUCAACUGGUUGUUGGGUCUUCAUUGACUCAGUAACGAAGCUAACGCGUGAAGUGGACCGCCUGGGGAGUACGGCCGCAAGGUUGAAACUCGAAGGAAUUGACGGGG